GGCGACCAUAGCAAGAGUGAACCACCUGAUCCCUUCCCGAACUCAGAAGUGAAACCUCUUAGCGCUGAUGGUAGUGUGGAUUACCCAUGUGAGAGUAAGUCAUCGCCAGCU
This 111-nucleotide ribosomal RNA is filed under the name Acinetobacter baumannii 1457504. The record is from RNAcentral. Lineage: Bacteria; Pseudomonadati; Pseudomonadota; Gammaproteobacteria; Moraxellales; Moraxellaceae.